UCUUAUUGAACUUCACAUGUAUUCAAUUUCAUAUAUCAAACAAUUUCCCACCUAUCCAUUGUUUCAUGUGAAGCAUACUCCAUUAUAUUGGAUAAAACUUAAAAGCAAUAUACACCAAGAGUCAAUGAAUUUAAGUCAUUUUUGCCUAAAACUUAAAAACAAUUCAAAGAGUCAAUAUGCCUAAUAUUCAAUUAUGAAUGCUUAAUUUAGAGGCAAAUGUUUAAACUUGUCUGCCGAUAACUUAUAUUUGAAUAUGAAGCUUUAUAAUUGUUGUUACUGCCAAUAAAGAUGUUUUUUUGUGAUAUGAAUUAAUUUUUAAAUGCCAGGCUUAUAAAAUCUGAAAGCAGGUAUUUAUGAAUAGCCUGGAUUGCAAUUUUGGUUGUAUUUAUGUACAAGUAUAAAUGUAUGCUAAAUAUGUGUGCAAUAAAUCAGUAUUAAGAUUUAAA
Molecule: long non-coding RNA, 446 nt
Filed under: Mytilus galloprovincialis (Mediterranean mussel)
Lineage: Eukaryota; Metazoa; Mollusca; Bivalvia; Mytilida; Mytilidae
Source: RNAcentral